Oncorhynchus tshawytscha (Chinook salmon) is the source of this 374-nucleotide long non-coding RNA. The record is from Ensembl. Lineage: Eukaryota; Metazoa; Chordata; Actinopteri; Salmoniformes; Salmonidae.
CCAGGUGUAUGUCUUCUCUCUCAGGUGUGUGUAUGUCCUCUCAAUCAGGUGUAUGUCUUCUCUUCCAGGUGUGUGUAUGUCUUCUCUCUCAGGUGUGUGUGUGUCUUCUCUCUCAGGUGUAUGUCUUCUCUUCCAGGUGUGUGUAUGUCUUCUCUCUCAGGUGUGUGUGUGUCUUCUCUCCCAGGUGUAUGUCUUCUCUCUCAGGUGUGUGUGUGUGUCUUCUCUCUCAGGUGUAUGUCUUCUCUUCCAGGUGUGUGUAUGUCCUCUCUCCCAGGUGUGUGUAUGUCUUCUCUCUCAGGUGUAUGUCUUCUCUCCCAGGUGUGUGUAUGUCUUCUCUCUCAGGUGUGUGUAUGUCUUCUCUCCCAGGUGUGUGU